CGUUAAUAUUGAUUCACUUAUAGGGUCUUUGCAUCGAAACUAAACACAUUUAUUCAAAAACCAGUUGUUGGCAUGACACGGGUUAUGUUCUUCUCAUAUAUGUUAUGAUGGUAUGAUACUAAACCCCUAACGGGAAGGAUUGUGCCUGAUGUUCAUAUGAUGAAAUCAUAAUCUUUCAGUCAGUUUAAUUGAAGUCUGGAGCUGGCAUGUCAGUUAACUACUAGUAGUCUGUUGUUAUUUAUGUAUUAUUGUCAUUUUGUUUAUUUUCUUUGGUUACAUCUUCUGACAUCAGACUCGGACUUCUCUUGAACUGAAUUUUAAUGUGCGUAUUAUUAUGCGUUUACUUUUCUACAUUGGCUAGAGGUAUAGGGGGAGGGUUGAGAUCUCACAAACAUGUUUAACCC
Molecule: long non-coding RNA, 404 nt
Filed under: Mytilus galloprovincialis (Mediterranean mussel)
Lineage: Eukaryota; Metazoa; Mollusca; Bivalvia; Mytilida; Mytilidae
Source: RNAcentral